RNAcentral lists this ribosomal RNA (392 nucleotides) under uncultured bacterium. RNAcentral describes it as "partial 16S ribosomal RNA". It matches the Rfam family "Bacterial small subunit ribosomal RNA", at positions 523 to 918 of the family's 1533-position model. The record is from RNAcentral.
AUACGUAGGUGACAAGCGUUAUCCGGAUUUAUUGGGUUUAAAGGGUGCGCAGGCGGCCAUUUAAGUCAGCGGUUAAAUCGUGGGGCUCAACCCCAUUCUGCCGUUGAUACUGGGUGGCUUGAUUGCGGUCGAGGUUGGCGGAAUUCGUUGUGUAGCGGUGAAAUGCAUAGAUAUGACGAAGAACACCGAUUGCGUAGGCAGCUGACCAGAUCGCAAAUGACGCUCAUGCACGAAAGUGCGGGGAUCGAACAGGAUUAGAUACCCUGGUAGUCCGCACAGUAAACGAUGAAUACUUGUUUUCGGCGAUAUAAUGUCGGAGGCAAAGCGAAAGCGAUAAGUAUUCCACCUGGGGAGUACGCCGGCAACGGUGAAACUUAAAGGAAUUGACGGGG